Molecule: ribosomal RNA, 254 nt
Filed under: uncultured bacterium
Lineage: Bacteria
Description: partial 16S ribosomal RNA
Rfam family: Bacterial small subunit ribosomal RNA
Source: RNAcentral
UACGUAGGGUCCGAGCGUUGUCCGGAUUUAUUGGGCGUAAAGAGCUCGUAGGCGGUUCCGUAAGUCAGAUGUGAAAACUCAGGGCUCAACCCGGAGACGCCAUCUGAUACUGCGGUGACUGGAGUCUGGUAGGGGAACACGGAAUUCCUGGUGUAGCGGUGGAAUGCGCAGAUAUCAGGAGGAACACCGAUGGCGAAGGCAGUGUUCUGGGCCAGUACUGACGCUGAGGAGCGAAAGCGUGGGGAGCAAACAGG